Molecule: long non-coding RNA, 587 nt
Organism: Entelurus aequoreus (snake pipefish)
Lineage: Eukaryota; Metazoa; Chordata; Actinopteri; Syngnathiformes; Syngnathidae
Exons: 5
Source: RefSeq, a predicted model, not a curated record
GAAGAAAGCUGCUGGUUGUGUGGACGCGACGCCAUGCUGACUGUUGGCUUAUCCUGAGUAGGGAGUGAAGCGACUGUACCCUCCUCUGUAAAGGCUAGCCUGCAACAUCAAAGAUGAAAAAGUACCAAUCAGUAAUCAGCAUGGCGGCGGUGAGGCUCCACUCGGGCCAGCUCGAGACCCUCCCUCCCCCCGGGGGCGCACUGGGAUACCCCGGCCGAGCCCUCGGAAGUGCACACGGGCGCACAAACAGGAAGGAGAGUCGGCAAGACGAGACGCCACCGCGGACAAAUCUAGCGGAUGAAAGGGGUCCAAAAGCACGCGCGGGUCUAAUCGACGCCGACCUGGCAGCCAGAGCGCGGCGAGGCUUCGGCCCGAGGAGAUCACGUUUGUUCCCUGCAGGACCCAGCUUUUUUUGUUUGCAGCCAACCAACUAAGUGGAUGUGGACUCUCUCCUCGGAUCUCAUCACAGAUUAGCCCGACAUGGGGGGCCCCGCAUCGGACCUCUCCCACGGCCACGCAGACCGCCGCUGAUAAAGAAGCGAGAGCGAGCGCGGGGCAGCACAAAGCCGAGAGAUCAGCGCCCGGCC